AUAUGCACCUGGCAGGGGGAUAUGAUGAUCAUGAGGGUGAUUUUCCCAGGGCAAGGCAUUGCACUCUGAUGUGCUGACUCCUGUGAUUUCCCCGAAUGUGAGACACUCAACAGCAUAAUUUGUGAUAGUGGGGAGCUGCGUUUGCACUCCCAU
RNAcentral lists this small nuclear RNA (153 nucleotides) under Octodon degus (degu). Its description in RNAcentral is "U1 spliceosomal RNA (ENSODEG00000022423.1)". It matches the Rfam family "U1 spliceosomal RNA". Rfam says of the family: U1 is a small nuclear RNA (snRNA) component of the spliceosome (involved in pre-mRNA splicing). Its 5' end forms complementary base pairs with the 5' splice junction, thus defining the 5' donor site of an intron. There are significant differences in sequence and secondary structure between metazoan and yeast U1 snRNAs, the latter being much longer (568 nucleotides as compared to 164 nucleotides in human). The record is from Rfam by way of RNAcentral. Lineage: Eukaryota; Metazoa; Chordata; Mammalia; Rodentia; Octodontidae.